This 109-nucleotide ribosomal RNA is filed under the name Cynoglossus zanzibarensis (Zanzibar tonguesole). RNAcentral describes it as "partial 28S ribosomal RNA". It matches the Rfam family "Eukaryotic large subunit ribosomal RNA", at positions 1 to 108 of the family's 3401-position model. The record is from RNAcentral. Lineage: Eukaryota; Metazoa; Chordata; Actinopteri; Pleuronectiformes; Cynoglossidae.
ACGACCUCAGAUCAGACGAGACGACCCGCUGAAUUUAAGCAUAUUACUAAGCGGAGGAAAAGAAACUAACCAGGAUUCCCUCAGUAGCGGCGAGUGAAGAGGGAAGAGC